GGCCACACUGGAACUGAGACACGGUCCAGACUCCUACGGGAGGCAGCAGUAGGGAAUCUUCCGCAAUGGGCGAAAGCCUGACGGAGCAACGCCGCGUGAGUGAUGAAGGUCUUCGGAUCGUAAAACUCUGUUAUUAGGGAAGAACAAAUGUGUAAGUAACUAUCACUCUUGACGGUACCUAAUCAGAAAGCCACGGCUAACUACGUGCCAGCAGCCGCGGUAAUACGUAGGUGGCAAGCGUUAUCCGGAAUUAUUGGGCGUAAAGCGCGCGUAGGCGGUUUUUUAA
This 286-nucleotide ribosomal RNA is filed under the name Staphylococcus sp. RNAcentral's name for it is "partial 16S ribosomal RNA". It matches the Rfam family "Bacterial small subunit ribosomal RNA", at positions 306 to 586 of the family's 1533-position model. Lineage: Bacteria; Bacillati; Bacillota; Bacilli; Caryophanales; Staphylococcaceae. The record is from RNAcentral.